GACGAACGCUGGCGGCGUGCCUAAUACAUGCAAGUUGAGCGAUGAAGAUUGGUGCUUGCACCAAUUUGCAGAGCAGCGAACGGGUGAGUAACGCGUGGGGAAUCUGCCCUUGAGCGGGGGACAACAUUUGGAAACGAAUGCUAAUACCGCAUAACAACUUUAAACAUAAGUUUUAAGUUUGAAAGAUGCAAUUGCAUCACUCAAAGAUGAUCCCGCGUUGUAUUAGCUAGUUGGUGAGGUAAAGGCUCACCAAGGCGAUGAUACAUAGCCGACCUGAGAGGGUGAUCGGCCACAUUGGGACUGAGACACGGCCCAAACUCCUACGGGAGGCAGCAGUAGGGAAUCUUCGGCAAUGGACGAAAGUCUGACCGAGCAACGCCGCGUGAGUGAAGAAGGGUUUCGGAUCGUAAAACUCUGUUGGUAGAGAAGAACGUUGGUGAGAGUGGAAAGCUCAUCAAGUGACGGUAACUACCCAGAAAGGGACGGCUAACUACGUG
This 497-nucleotide ribosomal RNA is filed under the name uncultured bacterium. RNAcentral's name for it is "partial 16S ribosomal RNA". It matches the Rfam family "Bacterial small subunit ribosomal RNA", at positions 28 to 507 of the family's 1533-position model. The record is from RNAcentral.